UUAUCCGGAUUUAUUGGGUUUAAAGGGUGCGUAGGCGGCAAGGUAAGUCAGCGGUGAAAGACCAGGGCUCAACUCUGGAAGUGCCGUUGAUACUGUCUGGCUAGAAUGAUUCCGCCGUGGGAGGAAUGAGUAGUGUAGCGGUGAAAUGCAUAGAUAUUACUCAGAACACCGAUUGCGAAGGCAUCUCACGAGGGGUUCAUUGACGCUGAGGCACGAAAGCGUGGGGAUCGAACAGGAUUAGAUACCCUGGUAGUCCACGCAGUAAACGAUGAUGGCUAACUGUCGGGCCUUCGGGUUCGGCGGCCAAGCGGAAGCGAUAAGCCAUCCACCUGGGGAGUACGACCGCAAGGUUGAAACUCAAAGGAAUUGACGGGGGCCCGCACAAGCGGAGGGACAUGUGGUUUAA
RNAcentral lists this ribosomal RNA (406 nucleotides) under uncultured bacterium. RNAcentral's name for it is "bacterial SSU rRNA". It matches the Rfam family "Bacterial small subunit ribosomal RNA", at positions 541 to 949 of the family's 1533-position model. The record is from RNAcentral.